GACGAACGCUGGCGGCGUGCCUAACACAUGCAAGUCGAGCGGAGAUACAUUGAAGAGCAAUCAGAUAUGUAUCUUAGCGGCGGACGGGUGAGUAACGCGUGGGCAACCUGCCUCAUACUGGGGGAUAACACAGGGAAACUUGUGCUAAUACCGCAUAAUAUCAUUAUAGGGCAUCCUGUGAUGAUCAAAGGAGCAAUCCGGUGUGAGAUGGGCCCGCGUCCAAUUAGCUAGUUGGUGGGGUAACGGCCCGCCAAGGCGACGAUUGGUAGCCGAACUGAGAGGUUGAUCGGCCACAUUGGGACUGAGACACGGCCCAGACUCCUACGGGAGGCAGCAGUGGGGAAUAUUGCGCAAUGGGGGAAACCCUGACGCAGCAACGCCGCGUGAAGGAUGAAGGUCUUCGGAUUGUAAACUUCUUUGAUGAGGGACGAACACAAUGACGGUACCUCAAAAACAAGCCACGGCUAACUACGUG
This 475-nucleotide ribosomal RNA is filed under the name uncultured bacterium. RNAcentral describes it as "bacterial SSU rRNA". It matches the Rfam family "Bacterial small subunit ribosomal RNA", at positions 28 to 507 of the family's 1533-position model. The record is from RNAcentral.